Molecule: long non-coding RNA, 401 nt
Organism: Neopsephotus bourkii (Bourke's parrot)
Lineage: Eukaryota; Metazoa; Chordata; Aves; Psittaciformes; Psittacidae
Exons: 3
Source: RefSeq, a predicted model, not a curated record
GAAUAUACCAAUAAUGGGUGCAGGAUCACUGAAAGAGAGUUUAACACGAUGAAGCUGUGAAAUGACAAAAACGUAGUAUCGGGACCUUUUUUUCUCGAGGCUAGAAGCAGAAGUAAGGCUGGACCUGGCAGACUUCUGUGACAUGCUGUCAUUCUCUUCCCUCCUGACAGAAAAGUUAAAAACAAGAGAGGAAAACAAGGCCCACAUGAGGAUGGAGGAGGAUUUUUCACUUUGCCAUAGUGCAGUGAUUUAAGUUGGAUGUCAUGUCUUCCCAAGCUCUGUCUCUGUUCAGCUGCACCAGACAGGCCGCAGCAUCCAUCACCCCUGAGCAGAAGCCAAACAGUGGACCAGAUCCUAAAGACUUCUGUCUCCUGAGAGGCAGCAAGAGGACCAAGCUCUGU